This 172-nucleotide ribosomal RNA is filed under the name Mucoromycotina sp. Its description in RNAcentral is "partial small subunit ribosomal RNA". It matches the Rfam family "Eukaryotic small subunit ribosomal RNA", at positions 1352 to 1544 of the family's 1831-position model. Lineage: Eukaryota; Fungi; Mucoromycota. The record is from RNAcentral.
UAAAUAGUUAUGCCAAUGUUAAUUGGUAGCUACACUUCUUAGAGGGACUGUCGGCGAUUAGCCGACGGAAGUUUGAGGCGAUAACAGGUCUGUAAUGCCCUUAGAUGUCCUGGGCCGCACGCGCGCUACACUGAUGAAGUCAACGAGUUUAUAACCUUGGCCGGAAGGUUUG